AGAGUCCUGAGGUGUUCGUGAAGCACUGAUCGUUUUGAGCCAACACUUUCACAUUGGGAGCCUGUCGUCUUGUUCUGGAGUACAAGCCUCAAUGUUUGGGGAAGUAUGAACGAACAAGCAAGGCACCCACCUGCCAUGAGCAGGUUCAAAAACAAGUUCGUUUGACGGCACAUUGGGACUCUU
This 183-nucleotide non-coding RNA is filed under the name Marinococcus luteus. RNAcentral describes it as "6S / SsrS RNA". It matches the Rfam family "6S / SsrS RNA". Rfam says of the family: E. coli 6S RNA was the first non coding RNA to be sequenced, but its function was unknown until recently. Lineage: Bacteria; Bacillati; Bacillota; Bacilli; Caryophanales; Bacillaceae. The record is from Rfam by way of RNAcentral.